UCGGCAUCGAGGAUGGAUGAAAGGUGGCCUCUAUUUAUAAGCUAUCACUGAAGGAGGGGAUUGCGUCUGAUUAGCUAGUUGGAGGGGUAACGGCCACCAAGGCAAUGAUCAGUAGCCGGUCUGAGAGGAUGAACGGCCACAUUGGGACUGAGACACGGCCCAGACUCCUACGGGAGGCAGCAUG
This 184-nucleotide ribosomal RNA is filed under the name uncultured bacterium. Its description in RNAcentral is "partial 16S ribosomal RNA". It matches the Rfam family "Bacterial small subunit ribosomal RNA", at positions 185 to 353 of the family's 1533-position model. The record is from RNAcentral.